ACAUGCAAGUCGAGGGGCAUCGGGAUGUAGCAAUACAUUGCCGGCGACCGGCGCACGGGUGAGUAACACGUAUCCAACCUGCCUUUUACUCGGGGAUAGGCUUUCGAAAGAAAGAUUAAUACCCGAUGGCAUAAUCUUCCGCAUGGUAGAAUUAUUAAAGAAUUUCGGUCAUCAAUGGGGAUGCGUUCCAUUAGGUUGUUGGCGGGGUAACGGCCCACCAAGCCUUCGAUGGAUAGGGGUUCUGAGAGGAAGGUCCCCACAUUGGAACUGAGACACGGUCCAAACUCC
This 288-nucleotide ribosomal RNA is filed under the name uncultured Bacteroides sp. RNAcentral's name for it is "partial 16S ribosomal RNA". It matches the Rfam family "Bacterial small subunit ribosomal RNA", at positions 53 to 339 of the family's 1533-position model. Lineage: Bacteria; Pseudomonadati; Bacteroidota; Bacteroidia; Bacteroidales; Bacteroidaceae. The record is from RNAcentral.